CGCGUAGGCGGUUUGAUCAGUCGGAUGUGAAAGCCCCGGGCUCAACCUGGGAACUGCAUUCGAUACUGUCAAACUAGAGUGUGGUAGAGGGAAGUGGAAUUCCAGGUGUAGCGGUGAGAUGCGUAGAUAUCUGGAGGAACAUCAGUGGCGAAGGCGACUUCCUGGACCAACACUGACGCUGAGGUGCGAAAGCGUGGGGAGCAAACA
This 207-nucleotide ribosomal RNA is filed under the name uncultured bacterium. RNAcentral describes it as "partial 16S ribosomal RNA". It matches the Rfam family "Bacterial small subunit ribosomal RNA", at positions 568 to 774 of the family's 1533-position model. The record is from RNAcentral.